CAUCGCAAUUAACUUAUCACUUGUUGUGUAAAUGGGCAGCCGAAGCACCCAGUGCAUGUUUCUCUCCUCAACGUCCACAUAGCGCAAAUAUGUAAUGUGCCCACUAAUAAGACAGAGAACAGCCUACACGAACAAAUGAUGUAGCUUGUUUCGAAAUGUAAAGUUAAGAAGUUGGCACGGAAGAAAAGAGGAUUAUAUACUCAGGAAAAAUGUGAAACGCGUGGAUGGGCUCCAGUUUCCCGCCGGAGCUUCACUUGGUGCACAAAUCAGAUGACGGGAAGCUUGCGGUGACCGGCUUCUUGUUUGAGGAAGGACUCUGGUUCGAAUUCAUAAUGCCUGCAAUGGGGAUGCAAGGUGACUUAGAAAUUAACGUUCAGAAUGAGAACAAGAGUGGGACAUGCCGGAGGAGUUGAUUCAUGGGUCGCAUGGUAGUUCCUAUGAACGCUGUUCCUUCUAAACCCGAGGCAGUCCGAUGGUAUCAGUUACAGAAACGCGGCCUCUUCUCGACGUCAAAGGCCACUUGGGGUGAAUUACACUUUCCCUUGGGGCAUUAGGGCACAUCAAGAUGAUGAAGCCGGAGAGGAACUACGGCACUCACAUGGGAUCCCUCACCAUGCGUGGAGGGUGUCACGGAGGACAGAUGACGACGGCACUGCGGGAAGGAGGAUGGAGGACGAGGGGGUCGCAGCUGCCCGAGAGUGCAGAAAUAACAAACAAAUUGAAGGAUCAUAAAGGCACGAGAUUUGUGCAGCGUAUAAAACAAUUAAAAGUAAUGGAAUCCGGGGGCUUUUGUCAGAGUGGAGAUAACUUAUCACACUCAAAGGUAAUUUUGCUAUUAUCAAAACUUUGAGGGGUACAUUUGCUAUUGUAUAGAAUGUAGGGAUAUUCUAGAUAUUUCAACAAAUUUGAGGGUAUUUGAGGGGUAUAUAUAUUAGUUCCCCUAAAUAUAAAGUACCCAUGUCGCAUACAAAACUUUGAAAGACUUACUGAGGUUAAAAAUCAUACUUUUAUUCCCUUUUGUUUUCUUUCUGUCUUUUUGAUCUAUGCUUUCCAAAUAGCAACCAAACUUGGACAUACUUAUUUAACUUGUUAUUUUUAUUAUAAAGAGAUAUUAUGUUUCUCUUUUGAUAUUUAUUCCAAGUUUUUUUAAGUCAUUCCAUAAUAAAAAGCAUUUAUCAUAUUCUUUACUAAUAAAUGACUAAUCAAUGUCUGGCCCUUCUCUGCGUUAAGGUGAUAAGAAUUUGAUUCGAUCCUGUGACAAGACUUUCAUUCGAAGUUAUACAAGACAAGACAAAUAAUAACUAAUAUCCUCAGAAAGUCAUUUGUUAUUUUGUGUGGACUCGUUUUAAAUUGUUUACUCUAACUAUGAUCUUCCCCAAUUUACUCCAAUAGAACUAAACUAUGUACUUCAAUCUUUGCUACUGUAUAGUCUUCUUGAAAGGUUUCUAUAGGGUUACACGAAGUGAUUAGUUCACUGAGAAACUACACGCAUCUUUAGAUCCAGUGAAAAAUAGGACUAAUGUCAACAUCCAGUCCCUGACUACUUAAAAAGCGCUAAACAAUAUUCUUAAUAAAAUCUUCACACCAUAUUAAUGGAUAAUAAUUUAACAAUACACAAGAAAAAGUUGAUAAAGCAGAAGGAUCGGAUAAUUUAAUAUGUUCAUUUCAGGUGAAGCACCACCAGUCAUGAGACAAGUUCAGGUCAAUAUUGUCUCCCAAUAAAAA
Physcomitrium patens is the source of this 1725-nucleotide non-coding RNA. NCBI's taxonomy places the organism in Eukaryota, Viridiplantae, Streptophyta, Bryopsida, Funariales, Funariaceae. The record is from RefSeq and is a predicted model, not a curated record.